This 494-nucleotide ribosomal RNA is filed under the name uncultured bacterium. RNAcentral describes it as "partial 16S ribosomal RNA". It matches the Rfam family "Bacterial small subunit ribosomal RNA", at positions 28 to 507 of the family's 1533-position model. The record is from RNAcentral.
GACGAACGCUGGCGGCGUGCUUAACACAUGCAAGUCGAACGGAAAGGCCUGUCCUUCCUUGUGUUGGACGGGUACUCGAGUGGCGAACGGGUGAGUAACACGUGAGUGAUCUGCCCCCAACUUGGGUAUAAGCCUGGGAAACUGGGUCUAAUUCCCGAUAGGACUGCAGGGUGGUGCCUGUGGUGGAAAACGAUUUUCUAGUGGUUGGGGUUGAGCUCGCGGCCUAUCGGCUUGUUGGUGGGGUAAUGGCCUACCAAGGCGGCGACGGGUAGCCGGCCUGGGAGGGUGGACGGCCGCAUUGGGACUGAGAUACGGCCCAGACUCCUACGGGAGGCAGCAGUGGGGAAUAUUGCACAAUGGGCGGAAGCCUGAUGCAGCGACGCCGCGUGGGGGAUGACGGCCUUCGGGUUGUAAACUCCUUUCGACCGCGAGGAAGCCGCCUGGUUGGAAGGGUGGUGACGGUAGUGGUAGAAGAAGCACCGGCUAACUACGUG